RNAcentral lists this unclassified non-coding RNA (329 nucleotides) under soil metagenome. RNAcentral describes it as "partial contains 5.8S ribosomal RNA, internal transcribed spacer 2, and large subunit ribosomal RNA". The stretch from base 1 to 120 matches the Rfam family "5.8S ribosomal RNA", at positions 35 to 154 of the family's 154-position model. The record is from RNAcentral.
GAUGAAGAACGCAGCGAAAUGCGAUAAGUAAUGUGAAUUGCAGAAUUCAGUGAAUCAUCGAAUCUUUGAACGCACAUUGCGCCCUCCGGUAUUCCGGGGGGCAUGCCUGUUCGAGCGUCAUUAUAACCACUCAAGCUCUCGCUUGGUAUUGGGGUUCGCGGUUUCGCGGCCCCUAAAAUCAGUGGCGGUGCCUGUCGGCUCUACGCGUAGUAAUACUUCUCGCGAUUGAGUUCGAUAGGUCUACUUGCCAGUAACCCCCAAUUUUUACAGGUUGACCUCGGAUCAGGUAGGGAUACCCGCUGAACUUAAGCAUAUCAAUAAGCGGAGGA